UACGAAGGGGGGCUAGCGUUGCUCGGAAUCACUGGGCGUAAAGGGUGCGUAGGCGGGUUUUUAAGUCAGAGGUGAAAUCCUGGAGCUCAACUCCAGAACUGCCUUUGAUACUGAAAGGUCUUGAGUAUGGGAGAGGUGAGUGGAACUGCGAGUGUAGAGGUGAAAUUCGUAGAUAUUCGCAAGAACACCAGUGGCGAAGGCGGCUCACUGGCCCAUAACGUGACGCUGAGGCACGAAAGCGUGGGGAGCAAACAGG
Molecule: ribosomal RNA, 256 nt
Filed under: uncultured bacterium
Lineage: Bacteria
Description: partial 16S ribosomal RNA
Rfam family: Bacterial small subunit ribosomal RNA
Source: RNAcentral